This 24-nucleotide non-coding RNA is filed under the name Cricetulus griseus (Chinese hamster). Lineage: Eukaryota; Metazoa; Chordata; Mammalia; Rodentia; Cricetidae. The record is from RNAcentral.
UGUUCUUAGAAAUGGAUUUAUAGA